ACUCCUACGGGAGGCAGCAGUGGGAAUAUUGGACAAUGGGCGCAAGCCUGAUCCAGCCAUGCCGCGUGUGUGAAGAAGGCCUUAUGGUUGUAAAGCACUUUAAGCGAGGAGGAGGCUACUGAAGUUAAUACCUUCAGAUAGUGGACGUUACUCGCAGAAUAAGCACCGGCUAACUCUGUGCCAGCAGCCGCGGUAAU
RNAcentral lists this ribosomal RNA (197 nucleotides) under uncultured bacterium. RNAcentral's name for it is "partial 16S ribosomal RNA". It matches the Rfam family "Bacterial small subunit ribosomal RNA", at positions 335 to 524 of the family's 1533-position model. The record is from RNAcentral.